This 51-nucleotide non-coding RNA is filed under the name Nocardia asiatica NBRC 100129. RNAcentral describes it as "L31-Actinobacteria ribosomal protein leader". It matches the Rfam family "L31-Actinobacteria ribosomal protein leader". Lineage: Bacteria; Bacillati; Actinomycetota; Actinomycetes; Mycobacteriales; Nocardiaceae. The record is from RNAcentral.
UCGGUUCCGGUUCACGCUUCGCGCCAAAUCCACGCGGGCGACCCGGCGACC